Molecule: non-coding RNA, 442 nt
Organism: Cinara cedri
Lineage: Eukaryota; Metazoa; Arthropoda; Insecta; Hemiptera; Aphididae
Source: the annotation of a GenBank genome assembly
GAACUUUUUCUCUCUAAGAAAAUAAUUCACUUUUAAAAGGUUCUAUUUUGCUUGUACAAACGAAAAUAAUUUGUUUAUUCACUGUUUAGAACUUAUUUCAUUUUCAGUAUCUCGAUGCCGAAUUGGGAUAGAAACACCAAUAUAAGUCUAGCAUAGGAAUAUUUUUUAUUCAAAAAUCUAUUAAAAAGUGAUUUUGAGACAAACAAAUAUAUAGAAGCUUUUCGUUCUCAGAUGACAUAUUGUUGUUACCUUUUAUUGGCCGAGAUAAGUUAAAACUGCGCGUUUUUUUAUACAAGUGGCGUUUCCGUCAUUUUCGUAAUUUAUGGUGUUACGACGAGUCAAAUAAAAAAACCCAAAUUAUAGAGCUAUCAUUUUUCGGAAAAAAUUAUUUUAUCAAUAUCGAUAAUUGUCUCGUUUUAUAAAAUGUUUAGAUACACGACGU